AUGACUUCUUCCAUGGCUUGCCUUGUCCUACUCUUGGGCAUCGCCUGCCUCCUGCAGACAUCGCUGACCGCGGCGGCCCCGCCGCCGCCGCCAUCGUGGGAGCUGCCGGAAUCCGAGGUGAGGUCCAGGUGGACGAGGUGGCAAACCAAGUACUCCAAGCGCUACCCGACCCCCGAGGAGAAGGAGAAGCGGUUCCAGGUAUUCAAGACGAACACCAACUCCAUCGGCGCUUUCGCCAGCCAGACUACCGUCAACGCCGUCGUCGGCGGGUUCGGGCCCCAGACCGUCACCACGGUCAGGGUCGGCAUGAACAGAUUCGGCGACCUCAACCCCAGCGAGGUCGCGGAGCAGUUCACCGGGUUCAACAACUCCGUCUUCACCCCAGAGCCUCCCUCCCCGCUCCCCUACGACUCCUGGAAGCCGUGCUGCGUUGACUGGCGCUCGAGCGGCGCCGUCACCGGCGUCAAGUUUCAGGGCUCUUGCUUGUCAUGCUGGGCAUUCGCGGCGGUGGCGGCCAUCGAGGGCAUGAACAAGAUCAGGACCGGCGAGCUGGUGUCGCUGUCGGAGCAGCAGCUUGUGGACUGCGACACCGGCAGCAGCGGCUGCAGCGGCGGCCGCACUGACACUGCCCUGGGCCUCGUCGCCUCCCGCGGCGGCAUCACGUCAGAGGAGCGGUACCCGUACAGCGGCUUCAAGGGCACCUGCGACGUGGACAAGCUGCUGUUCGACCACCAGGCGGCCGUCAAGGGAUUCAAGGCCGUGCCGCCCAACGACGAGCGGCAGCUGGCGCUGGCCGUGGCGCGGCAGCCCGUGACGGUGUACAUCGACGCCAGCACGUGGGAGUUCCAGUUCUACUCAGGCGGCAUCUUCCGGGGCCCCUGCUCCGCCGAUGCCGCGACGGUCAACCACGCCGUCACCAUUGUCGGCUACUGCGAGGAGUUCGGUGAGAAGUUCUGGAUCGCCAAGAACUCGUGGAGCAACGACUGGGGCGACCAGGGAUACAUCCUCCUCGCCAAGGACGUUUUCGGGCCGACGGGCACCUGCGGCCUCGCCACCUCGCCCUUCUACCCAACAGCUUGA
Molecule: ribosomal RNA, 1080 nt
Filed under: Triticum aestivum (bread wheat)
Lineage: Eukaryota; Viridiplantae; Streptophyta; Magnoliopsida; Poales; Poaceae
Description: partial small subunit ribosomal RNA
Source: RNAcentral